GAUGAACGCUGGCGGCGUGCCUAACACAUGCAAGUCGAACGGAGUCGUUUUGGCAAUCUCUUCGGAGAUGGAAUUCUCGACUUAGUGGCGGACGGGUGAGUAACGCGUGAGCAAUCUGCCUUUAAGAGGGGGAUAACAGUCGGAAACGGCUGCUAAUACCGCAUAAAGCAUUAAAUUCGCAUGUUUUUGAUGCCAAAGGAGCAAUCCGCUUUUAGAUGAGCUCGCGUCUGAUUAGCUAGUUGGCGGGGUAACGGCCCACCAAGGCGACGAUCAGUAGCCGGACUGAGAGGUUGAACGGCCACAGUGGGACUGAGACACGGCCCAGACUCCUACGGGAGGCAGCAGGGGGGAAUAUUGCGCAAUGGGGGAAACCCUGACGCAGCAACGCCGCGUGAUUGAAGAAGGCCUUCGGGUUGUAAAGAUCUUUAAUCAGGGACGAAACAAAUGACGGUACCUGAAGAAUAAGCUCCGGCUAACUACGUG
RNAcentral lists this ribosomal RNA (483 nucleotides) under uncultured bacterium. RNAcentral describes it as "partial 16S ribosomal RNA". It matches the Rfam family "Bacterial small subunit ribosomal RNA", at positions 28 to 507 of the family's 1533-position model. The record is from RNAcentral.